CCUACGGGAGGCUGCAGUGAGGAAUAUUGGUCAAUGGACGAGAGUCUGAACCAGCCAAGUAGCGUGAAGGAUGACUGCCCUAUGGGUUGUAAACUUCUUUUAUAUGGGAAUAAAACGUUCCACGUGUGGGAUUUUGUAUGUACCAUAUGAAUAAGGAUCGGCUAACUCCGUGCCAGCAGCCGCGGUAAUACGGAGGAUCCGAGCGUUAUCCGGAUUUAUUGGGUUUAAAGGGAGCGUAGGUGGAUUGUUAAGUCAGUUGUGAAAGUUUGCGGCUCAACCGUAAAAUUGCAGUUGAAACUGGCAGUCUUGAGUACAGUAGAGGUGGGCGGAAUUCGUGGUGUAGCGGUGAAAUGCUUAGAUAUCACGAAGAACUCCGAUUGCGAAGGCAGUUCACUGGACUGCAACUGACACUGAGGCUCGAAAGUGUGGGUAUCAAACAGGAGUAGAUACCCUUGUAGUC
This 460-nucleotide ribosomal RNA is filed under the name uncultured bacterium. Its description in RNAcentral is "partial 16S ribosomal RNA". It matches the Rfam family "Bacterial small subunit ribosomal RNA", at positions 338 to 795 of the family's 1533-position model. The record is from RNAcentral.